Molecule: ribosomal RNA, 310 nt
Filed under: uncultured Metallosphaera sp.
Lineage: Archaea; Thermoproteati; Thermoproteota; Thermoprotei; Sulfolobales; Sulfolobaceae
Description: bacterial SSU rRNA
Rfam family: Archaeal small subunit ribosomal RNA
Source: RNAcentral
GUCCACGACGGAGCGAAGACCCUCACCCUUAGUUGCGACCGCGAAACGGGCACACUAAGGGGACCGCCACCGUUAAGGUGGAGGAAGGAGGGGGCAACGGCAGGUCAGCAUGCCCCGAAUCACCUGGGCCGCACGCGGGCUGCAAUGGUGGAAACAAUGGGAUCCGAACCCGAAAGGGGGAGGUAAUCCUUGAAACUCCCCGUAUUGGGAUCGAGGGCUGCACCCGCCCUCGUGAACUUGGGAAUCCCAGUAAUCGCCGUGUCAUCAUCGCCGCGGUUGAACAAGUCCCCGCUUCUUUGUACACACCCCC